RNAcentral lists this ribosomal RNA (410 nucleotides) under bacterium. RNAcentral describes it as "partial 23S ribosomal RNA". It matches the Rfam family "Bacterial large subunit ribosomal RNA", at positions 2506 to 2925 of the family's 2925-position model. The record is from RNAcentral.
CGACGACCAGGUUCGGCACCUCGAUGUCGGCUCAUCGCAUCCUGGGGCUGGAGAAGGUCCCAAGGGUUUGGCUGUUCGCCAAUUAAAGCGGUACGCGAGCUGGGUUCAGAACGUCGUGAGACAGUUCGGUCUCCUAUCCACUGUGGGCGUAGAAACUUGAGAAGAUUCUUCCUUAGUACGAGAGGACCGGGAAGGACGAACCUCUGGUGCACCAGUUGUCCUGCCAAGGGCAUUGCUGGGUAGCCAUGUUCGGAGCGGAUAAACGCUGAAAGCAUCUAAGCGUGAAGCCGUCUUCAAGAUUAGGUUUCGUUAUUUAAGCUCCUCGGAGAACACGAGGUUGAUAGGCAGUAGGUGUACGGGCAGUAAUGCCUUUAGCCGAGCUGUACUAAUAAGCUGAUUUAUCUCGACCA